AGUAACCCCGGCGAGAGUGGGUGGAGAGGGAGGCGCUUCCUCUCCAUUCAUGUCAGCUGCCAGCCAGGCCCGGGCAGGCCGGCCCUUUAGCGGAGGGGACUGGGCAGGACGAGGCGAUGGGUGUCUUCGGAGAUCUUAAGCUGGGCUGAAAGUUAAACACUCACCCGCAGGGCUGAGCCAGAGCUGGCACCUUCCACACCGAGCCCCUUCCUAUCUGUGACUGUUGAAAAGUUUAAUGUGAUGUUCUGGGUGAGGACCGAGGCGUUGGAGGUCGCUAGGAGGGUAGUUUUACGGAGUCGCGUUAAUGGCUGUAGUGGGUGUACCUUAGUGACCACAGGGAGGUGGCAGCCUGUCCUCUCCUCCUCCUGGUCACCGUAUUCUAUUUGCGGAAAAGGUAAGAAUGGAGGCUUGGAUAGUCUUUCUACUAGAGAUGCAACUUCUCCCACCCUCUACUCCAGGGGAAAGAGAAGUCUGUGGGGAACUGGCUUUGUAAAAAGUAGGAAAGAGGAAAGGGACAAAUGGGUACACGUUAAGAAGAGGGUGACUCUCAUACAUUGCUGGAGAAAAUUUAAAGUGGUGCAGCCACUGGGGAAACAGUUUGAUGGUGCCACAAAAGGUUAAAUAUCAAAUUAGCAUCUGGCCCAGCAACUCCACUCCUAGAUAUAAACCCUAAUAAAUUAUAAA
This is a long non-coding RNA of Homo sapiens (human), 684 nucleotides long. NCBI's taxonomy places the organism in Eukaryota, Metazoa, Chordata, Mammalia, Primates, Hominidae. The record is from Ensembl.